UAAUGUUAGGGUUAGUGUUAGGUUUAAGGUUGGAGUAAGGGUUGUGGUUAGUGUUAGGGUUAGGGUUGUUGUUAGGAUUAAGGAUAGGAUUCGGGUUUGGGUUAGGUUUACGUUUAUUUUUAGGGUUAGUGUUAGGGUUAGUUUUACAGUUAGUGUUCGGGUAAGCAUUAGGGUAGGAUUAGGAUUAGUUUUAGGAUUAGCAUUAUGGUUAGUGUUAGGGUUAGUGUUAGGAUUAGGGUUAGGGUUAGAGUCAGGGUUAGUGUAAGGGUUUAUAUUAGGCUUAGAAUUAGUGUUAUGACUAAGAUUACAUUUAGGAUUAGGGUUUGUGUUAGUGUUUCGGAUAGGGUUAGUGUUUUGGUUAUGGUUAGGAUUCGGGUUAGAUUUAGGGUUAAGGUUAGGAUUAGGUUAGGGUUAUGGUUAGGGUUUGUUAUAGGGUUAGAUUUAGGGUAAGGGUUAGGGUUAGAGUUAUUGUUAGGGUUAGGGUUAGGUUUAGGGUUAAAGUUAGUUUUAGGGUUAGGGUUUGUGUUAAAUUUAGAGUUCGGGUUAUGGUUAGGGUAGGGUUAUUUUUAGGGUUAGUUUUAGGGUUAGAGAUAGGUUUAGGGUUAGUGUUAGGGUUCAGGUUAAUGUUAGGAUUAGGUUUAUCAUUAGGGUUAGAGUUAGGGUUAGAGUUAGGAUUAGGGUUAGUGUUUGUGUUUGGGUUAUGGUAAUGGUUAGGUUUAGUGUUAGGGUUAGUGUUAGGUUUUGGUUUAGGGUUAGUAUAAGGGUUCGUGUUAAGGUAAGGUUUACGAGUUUGGUAAGGUUUAGGGUUAGGUUUAUUGUUAUGGUUAGGGUUAAGAUUAGGGUUUGGUUUAUGUUUAGGGUUAUCGUUAGUGUUAGGGUUAGUGUUAUGUUUAUAUUAGGGUUAGAAUUAGUGUUAGGAUUGAGGUUACAUUUGGGAUUAGGGUUUGUGUUAGGGUUUCUGAUUGGGCUAGGGUUUCAAUUAUGGUUAGAAUUCAGGUUAGGGUUAGGGUUAGGGUUAGAUUAGAGUUAGGGUAGGGUUUUUUAGGGAUAGAUUUAGGGUAAGGUUAGGGUUAGUGUUAAGGUUAGGGUUAGG
RNAcentral lists this long non-coding RNA (1093 nucleotides) under Marmota monax (woodchuck). The record is from RNAcentral. Lineage: Eukaryota; Metazoa; Chordata; Mammalia; Rodentia; Sciuridae.